RNAcentral lists this ribosomal RNA (452 nucleotides) under uncultured marine bacterium. Its description in RNAcentral is "bacterial SSU rRNA". It matches the Rfam family "Bacterial small subunit ribosomal RNA", at positions 360 to 804 of the family's 1533-position model. The record is from RNAcentral.
AAUAUUGGACAAUGGGGGAAACCCUGAUCCAGCAAUGCCAUGUGUGUGAAGAAGGCCUGCGGGUUGUAAAGCACUUUCAGUGGGGAAGAGGGGUGUUGAGUUGAAUAGGCUCGAUGCUUGACGUUACCCACAGAAGAAGCACCGGCUAACUCCGUGCCAGCAGCCGCGGUAAUACGGAGGGUGCGAGCGUUAAUCGGAAUUACUGGGCGUAAAGCGCGCGUAGCGGCUGAGUAAGUCAGAUGUGAAAGCCCCGGGCUCAACCUGGGAAUGGCAUUUGAGACUGCUCGACUAGAGUCUGUCAGAGGGUGGCGGAAUUCCGGGUGUAGCGGUGAAAUGCGUAGAUAUCCGGAGGAACAUCAGUGGCGAAGGCGGCCACCUGGGGCAAGACUGACGCUGAGGGGCGAAAGCGUGGGGAGCGAACAGGAUUAGAUACCCUGGUAGUCCACGCUGUA